Molecule: long non-coding RNA, 689 nt
Organism: Mus pahari (shrew mouse)
Lineage: Eukaryota; Metazoa; Chordata; Mammalia; Rodentia; Muridae
Exons: 3
Source: RefSeq, a predicted model, not a curated record
GGGCUUGGUACUUACAGCCCAAGGAAGUGUCCUAAGGCUGACGGCUGGCUUGCUGUCUGUCAUUUCAGGGCAGAGGGGGAGCUUUGGAGACUGGGCUCCAAGAAAGCAAAAGGACCAGGCAAGUAAACAAUUGAGUCCUGUGUUUUCCCCGAGCCACAGCCAUGGGAAUCCCACUUCCACACUGAGAUGUGCAUGGAGAUAGGAGCUGUGCGGCCGUACUGUCCGUGUGUCUAGGAGGCGAAAGAAGCAAAGAGAGCAGAAGGAGGCAUGGUGCUUUGGGGAAGAACGGUGUCCUGGAGAGACUGGCGUUUCUGCCUCUGUGUGAACAUCUGGCAGGGACAGAAUACCCAGCCAGGUUGACGGGGGAGGAGGCAGUUCACUCAUCCCAUGUGCUGUGAAGGCAGCUGAAGCUGGUACUUCCCUUCUGUUUCCAGUUCCUGUCAUCUCAGUGGAAGGAGUGGGUAGAGGUGGACCAGGGACACAGCAGUGGACAUGUGGAGUGCAUCUCCUCUUCUUUGGCCUCAGUGAGACUCAUCCUGCAGCUCUGAAUACUACAGCUCCUGUUGCCAUGACUCCCCACCGUGAUGGACUGCGCCCUGGAAGAUAUUAGAAGACCUUCACAUUCUUUGGGGCACAAAGCAACAAGUGCAAAGACUUUGUUUCUGAUACAUCUCCCCAUGUUGGCAAGA